GCCCUUUGCUGUAUCUUUUUCAGCUAAAUGAAAAAUGCAACAGAUGAAUUUAUUUGCAGGAGAAAAUGCACAUAGUCAAAUGGCACAGAGGUUCCUUUAUGCAAUAAAAUUCUGGCAGGAGCAACUGAGGAAGAAUGGGGUGUUCAUUGGCAAGAACUAUAGCAGAAUGUCAUUUAAUUAGAUAUUCUGAGGCUCACAAAAAUAAAUAAAUAAAUAUAAAAUUGUGGCAAGGUUGUCGUUUAUCAAAAUCCAGAACAACUUAAAGAAACCAAAAAAAAAAAGACAGG
This 287-nucleotide unclassified non-coding RNA is filed under the name Hevea brasiliensis (rubber tree). Lineage: Eukaryota; Viridiplantae; Streptophyta; Magnoliopsida; Malpighiales; Euphorbiaceae. The record is from RNAcentral.